RNAcentral lists this ribosomal RNA (644 nucleotides) under Pedobacter sp. Its description in RNAcentral is "bacterial SSU rRNA". It matches the Rfam family "Bacterial small subunit ribosomal RNA", at positions 179 to 823 of the family's 1533-position model. Lineage: Bacteria; Pseudomonadati; Bacteroidota; Sphingobacteriia; Sphingobacteriales; Sphingobacteriaceae. The record is from RNAcentral.
ACAGAAUAGCAUUAUUCAAUGUUCAAAUAUUUAUAGGAUUAAGAUGGGCAUGCGUGUCAUUAGCUAGUUGGCGGGGUAACGGCCCACCAAGGCGACGAUGACUAGGGGAUCUGAGAGGAUGACCCCCCACACUGGUACUGAGACACGGACCAGACUCCUACGGGAGGCAGCAGUAAGGAAUAUUGGUCAAUGGAGGCAACUCUGAACCAGCCAUGCCGCGUGCAGGAAGACGGCCCUAUGGGUUGUAAACUGCUUUUAUCUGGGAAUAAACCUUUUUACGUGUAAGAAGCUGAAUGUACCAGAAGAAUAAGGAUCGGCUAACUCCGUGCCAGCAGCCGCGGUAAUACGGAGGAUCCAAGCGUUAUCCGGAUUUAUUGGGUUUAAAGGGUGCGUAGGCGGCCUGUUAAGUCAGAGGUGAAAGACGGUAGCUCAACUAUCGCAGUGCCUUUGAUACUGACGGGCUUGAAUAAACUAGAGGUAGGCGGAAUGAGACAAGUAGCGGUGAAAUGCAUAGAUAUGUCUCAGAACACCGAUUGCGAAGGCAGCUUACUAUGGUUUUAUUGACGCUGAGGCACGAAAGCGUGGGGAUCAAACAGGAUUAGAUACCCUGGUAGUCCACGCCCUAAACGAUGAAUACUCGCUGU